CACAAAAUAACAUUUAAAAAAAAUAUGCUAAAUAAAUAUAAAUAUAAAUAAAUAAAUAUGAGAAAUAUGCUGAAAAGAUACCAUUUUGAAUUUAAUUAGGAAUUUUUCCCCUCCUUUUCAGUCAGAUCUGAUUUGUCAUGUUCAUCAACCUGGUCUCCUGCUCUAAGAGCCUCUUCCUCCUCCAGGAACUCCUCCUCCUCAAUAUAUAAAAAUCAAAAUAUAAAACAAUUGUUGUUGUUCUUAUGUACUUAUGAUAUAUUCAAUAGCUGUUUGAAUAUAGAGUAUAUAGAAUAUAGAGAAUAUAUAAAAAAGUCCACUAUAUUAUGGUAUGAAAUGAUAAGUUAUUAUUAUUAUGAAACAACUCCCCCAUGUUCCUUAAUGCUUAGAAUGCAUGAUUUUCCUUUAAUAGGGCACAUCCACUCUCUCCUAUCUGAUUGGUUGGUUCACCUUUACCAUUCAUUUUUCUUCUUCUUAACUGGAGGCCUGCCUUCUUAACAUGGCUAAGUGAACGGAGAGUUCUGAUCUGGGGAAGGUGACCUAGUUAUGACGAGCUGAGAUCUGAGCCAGAUUUGAAUCCAACCAUGAAUUAUUACAACCAGAGGAGAGCGCCCAUUUCAUAUUUCUUGACAGUAAGAGCAAUGAAGCUUCAGACAAACGAGUUGCUGCUUCGUCUAGUGUUUCUUGGCCAUUUUUGGAAACAUUUGCACACAUUUGAUGUGAUCAGUAUUUGCAGCAUAAUUCAGUAUAACAGUUGCUGGGUUUUUUCUAUAGCUGCACUGACAAUAGUGUGCAGUGAUCGUGUGUAUCUACUCAUUGACAAACUAAUGAGCCCGCACUGUCACCUGGGGUCGUGCAGGACGCUUGUGAUUGGAUAACGAGGCGCAGUCGUGGCCGUUAAAAGUGGAAAGAACUGGAAAUACAGCCCUGUGGCAGUUGCAAAAUGGUGAUGUGUGAAGGCACAGUGAAAAAAGUUUGCUGUUAUUACAACGGCCAAAAGAAGAGGUUUAACCAAGUUCCACUCCUGAUGAUGGGACCUUUGUUGAAUCCUGUGAGCACAUGUUGACAGAAGUAGUGUUUGCUCCAGGUUUUUGUCGUGAGAAAGGCCUGUCAUGGGGGAGGUUCAGAGGGCCGAGAUAUGAAGAGAAGAAGGGCAGUUUCCAGGACGUCUGAGGCAAUCGUUGGCCUUUUUAGGAAGAUAA
Molecule: long non-coding RNA, 1199 nt
Organism: Cynoglossus semilaevis (tongue sole)
Lineage: Eukaryota; Metazoa; Chordata; Actinopteri; Pleuronectiformes; Cynoglossidae
Exons: 3
Source: RefSeq, a predicted model, not a curated record